AUUGAACGCUGGCGGCAUGCUUUACACAUGCAAGUCGAACGGCAGCGCGGGGCAACCUGGCGGCGAGUGGCGAACGGGUGAGUAAUACAUCGGAACGUACCCAGAAGUGGGGGAUAACGUAGCGAAAGUUACGCUAAUACCGCAUACGUUCUACGGAAGAAAGUGGGGGACCUUCGGGCCUCAUGCUUUUGGAGCGGCCGAUGUCUGAUUAGCUAGUUGGUGAGGUAAAGGCUCACCAAGGCGACGAUCAGUAGCUGGUCUGAGAGGACGACCAGCCACACUGGGACUGAGACACGGCCCAGACUCCUACGGGAGGCAGCAGUGGGGAAUUUUGGACAAUGGGCGCAAGCCUGAUCCAGCAAUGCCGCGUGAGUGAAGAAGGCCUUCGGGUUGUAAAGCUCUUUUGUCAGGGAAGAAACGGCUGAGGAUAAUACCUUCGGCUAAUGACGGUACCUGAAGAAUAAGCACCGGCUAACUACGUGCCAGCCGCCGCCGUAA
Molecule: ribosomal RNA, 498 nt
Filed under: uncultured bacterium
Lineage: Bacteria
Description: partial 16S ribosomal RNA
Rfam family: Bacterial small subunit ribosomal RNA
Source: RNAcentral